This 429-nucleotide ribosomal RNA is filed under the name Triticum aestivum (bread wheat). Its description in RNAcentral is "partial small subunit ribosomal RNA". The record is from RNAcentral. Lineage: Eukaryota; Viridiplantae; Streptophyta; Magnoliopsida; Poales; Poaceae.
AUGGGUAAGACACGUGGUAUGGGAGCUGGGCGCAAGCUCAAGACCCACAGGAGGAACCAGCGGUGGGCUGACAAAGCCUACAAGAAGAGCCAUCUGGGGAACGAGUGGAAGAAACCCUUUGCUGGUUCAUCCCACGCAAAGGGGAUUGUCCUUGAAAAGAUUGGCAUUGAAGCCAAGCAGCCCAACUCUGCUAUCCGCAAGUGCGCUCGUGUCCAGCUGGUGAAGAACGGAAAGAAGAUUGCCGCCUUUGUGCCAAACGAUGGUUGCCUGAACUUCAUCGAAGAGAAUGACGAGGUGCUCAUCGCUGGGUUCGGUCGGAAGGGGCAUGCUGUGGGAGACAUCCCUGGUGUCCGGUUCAAGGUGGUGAAGGUGUCGGGCGUGUCCCUCCUUGCACUCUUCAAGGAGAAGAAGGAGAAGCCCAGAUCCUAA